AUGAACGCUGGCGGCGUGCCUAAUACAUGCAAGUCGAGCGAACGGACGAGAAGCUAGCUUCUCUGAUGUUAGCGGCGGACGGGUGAGUAACACGUGGAUAACCUACCUAUAAGACUGGGAUAACUUCGGGAAACCGGAGCUAAUACCGGAUAAUAUUUUGAACCGCAUGGUUCAAAAGUGAAAGACGGUCUUGCUGUCACUUAUAGAUGGAUCCGCGCUGCAUUAGCUAGUUGGUAAGGUAACGGCUUACCAAGGCAACGAUGCAUAGCCGACCUGAGAGGGUGAUCGGCCACACUGGAACUGAGACACGGUCCAGACUCCUACGGGAGGCAGCAGUAGGGAAUCUUCCGCAAUGGGCGAAAGCCUGACGGAGCAACGCCGCGUGAGUGAUGAAGGUCUUCGGAUCGUAAAACUCUGUUAUUAGGGAAGAACAUAUGUGUAAGUAACUGUGCACAUCUUGACGGUACCUAAUCAGAAAGCCACGGCUAACUACGUG
This 496-nucleotide ribosomal RNA is filed under the name uncultured bacterium. Its description in RNAcentral is "partial 16S ribosomal RNA". It matches the Rfam family "Bacterial small subunit ribosomal RNA", at positions 29 to 507 of the family's 1533-position model. The record is from RNAcentral.